GAUAUAGUCUGUCUGUUGUGCUUGGUGAUCUCUAUGUGGUGAGAUAAGUUCUAACCCAAACUUGAGUGUAAUUAAGAUAGGAGGAUGGUAUAGUCAUGCUCAACUUGUGUGGACUAGUCCUUAACAAGUUAGCUUGAGACCCAAUUACUCAGUGGAGACCUCUUUAGAGUUACUGAUGUCACACAAGUAAUUUGUGGAUAGGCAUUACUUUCUCUGAU
This 218-nucleotide long non-coding RNA is filed under the name Lathyrus oleraceus (garden pea). RNAcentral describes it as "Pisum sativum (pea) long non-coding RNA (PSAT_LNC002853)". Lineage: Eukaryota; Viridiplantae; Streptophyta; Magnoliopsida; Fabales; Fabaceae. The record is from RNAcentral.